This 737-nucleotide ribosomal RNA is filed under the name Streptococcus sp. GBR-29. Its description in RNAcentral is "bacterial SSU rRNA". It matches the Rfam family "Bacterial small subunit ribosomal RNA", at positions 214 to 942 of the family's 1533-position model. The record is from RNAcentral. Lineage: Bacteria; Bacillati; Bacillota; Bacilli; Lactobacillales; Streptococcaceae.
UUCACUAGUAGAUGGACCUGCGUUGUAUUAGCUAGUUGGUGAGGUAACGGCUCACCAAGGCGACGAUACAUAGCCGACCUGAGAGGGUGAUCGGCCACACUGGGACUGAGACACGGCCCAGACUCCUACGGGAGGCAGCAGUAGGGAAUCUUCGGCAAUGGGGGCAACCCUGACCGAGCAACGCCGCGUGAGUGAAGAAGGUUUUCGGAUCGUAAAGCUCUGUUGUAAGAGAAGAACGUGUGUGAGAGUGGAAAGUUCACACAGUGACGGUAACUUACCAGAAAGGGACGGCUAACUACGUGCCAGCAGCCGCGGUAAUACGUAGGUCCCGAGCGUUGUCCGGAUUUAUUGGGCGUAAAGCGAGCGCAGGCGGUUUAAUAAGUCUGAAGUUAAAGGCAGUGGCUUAACCAUUGUUCGCUUUGGAAACUGUUAGACUUGAGUGCAGAAGGGGAGAGUGGAAUUCCAUGUGUAGCGGUGAAAUGCGUAGAUAUAUGGAGGAACACCGGUGGCGAAAGCGGCUCUCUGGUCUGUAACUGACGCUGAGGCUCGAAAGCGUGGGGAGCAAACAGGAUUAGAUACCCUGGUAGUCCACGCCGUAAACGAUGAGUGCUAGGUGUUAGGCCCUUUCCGGGGCUUAGUGCCGCAGCUAACGCAUUAAGCACUCCGCCUGGGGAGUACGACCGCAAGGUUGAAACUCAAAGGAAUUGACGGGGGCCCGCACAAGCGGUGGAGCAUGU